GAUGAAGAACGCAGCGAAAUGCGAUAAGUAAUGUGAAUUGCAGAAUUCAGUGAAUCAUCGAAUCUUUGAACGCACAUUGCGCCCGCCAGCAUUCUGGCGGGCAUACCUGUUCGAGCGUCAUUUCAACCCUCGAGCCCCCCCGGGGGCCUCGGUGUUGGGGGACGGCACACCAGCCGCCCCCGAAAUGCAGUGGCGACCUCGCCGCAGCCUCCCCUGCGUAGUAGCACACACCUCGCACCGGAGCGCGGAGACGGUCACGCCGUAAAACGCCCAACUUCUUAGAGUUGACCUCGGAUCAGGUAGGAAUACCCGCUGAACUUAAGCAUAUCAAUAAGCGGAGGA
RNAcentral lists this unclassified non-coding RNA (342 nucleotides) under soil metagenome. RNAcentral describes it as "partial contains 5.8S ribosomal RNA, internal transcribed spacer 2, and large subunit ribosomal RNA". The stretch from base 1 to 120 matches the Rfam family "5.8S ribosomal RNA", at positions 35 to 154 of the family's 154-position model. The record is from RNAcentral.